AGCGAACGCUGGCGGCAGGCUUAACACAUGCAAGUCGAACGCAUCCUUCGGGGUGAGUGGCAGACGGGUGAGUAACGCGUGGGAACAUGCCCUUUGGUUCGGAAUAACUCAGGGAAACUUGAGCUAAUACCGGAUAAGCCCCCGGACUUGGUCCGGGGGGAAAGAUUUAUCGCCGAAGGAUUGGCCCGCGUCCGAUUAGCUAGUUGGUGAGGUAAUGGCUCACCAAGGCGACGAUCGGUAGCUGGUCUGAGAGGAUGAUCAGCCACACUGGGACUGAGACACGGCCCAGACUCCUACGGGAGGCAGCAGUGGGGAAUAUUGGACAAUGGGGGCAACCCUGAUCCAGCCAUGCCGCUUGAGUGAUGAAGGCCCUAGGGUUGUAAAGCUCUUUCGGCGGGGACGAUAAUGACGGUACCCGCAGAAGAAGCCCCGGCUAACUUCGUGCCAGCCGCCGCCGUAA
RNAcentral lists this ribosomal RNA (460 nucleotides) under uncultured bacterium. Its description in RNAcentral is "partial 16S ribosomal RNA". It matches the Rfam family "Bacterial small subunit ribosomal RNA", at positions 29 to 523 of the family's 1533-position model. The record is from RNAcentral.